Molecule: ribosomal RNA, 254 nt
Filed under: uncultured bacterium
Lineage: Bacteria
Description: partial 16S ribosomal RNA
Rfam family: Bacterial small subunit ribosomal RNA
Source: RNAcentral
GACGAACCGUGCGAACGUUAUUCGGAAUCACUGGGCUUAAAGCGCGUGUAGGCGGGCCAUCACGUCGGUCGUUAAAAGCCCCCGGCUCAACCGGGGAACCGGCGCCGAAACGAGUGGCCUGGAGGGGGGUAGGGGGACCUGGAACUUCCGGUGGAGCGGUGAAAUGCGUUGAGAUCGGAAGGAACGCCCGUGGCGAAAGCGAGGUCCUGGACCCCAUCUGACGCUGAGACGCGAAAGCCAGGGGAGCGAACGGG